CCUACGGGAGGCUGCAGACGAGAAUAUUCCGCAAUGGGCGAAAGCCUGACGGAGCGACGCCGCGUGACUGAUGAAGUCCUUCGGGACGUAAAGGUCUUUUAUGAGGGAAGAAGUAUAUUGACGGUACCUCAAGAAUAAGGGGCUCCUAACUCUGUGCCAGCAGGAGCGGUAAUACAGAGGCCCCAAGCAUUACCCGGAAUCACUGGGCGUAAAGGGUGUGUAGGCGGUUAUGUUAGUCCUGUGUUAAAUCACCCGGCUCAACCGGGUAUCCGCACUGGAAACGGCAUAACUAGAGGAUGCGAGAGGUCUGUGGAACUCUAGGUGUAGGGGUGAAAUCCGUUGAUAUCUAGGGGAACACCAAAAGCGAAGGCAGCAGACUGGCGCACUCCUGACGCUGAGACACGAAAGCGUGGGUAGCGAACGGGAUUAGAUACCCGGGU
RNAcentral lists this ribosomal RNA (440 nucleotides) under uncultured bacterium. RNAcentral's name for it is "bacterial SSU rRNA". It matches the Rfam family "Bacterial small subunit ribosomal RNA", at positions 338 to 791 of the family's 1533-position model. The record is from RNAcentral.